RNAcentral lists this ribosomal RNA (431 nucleotides) under uncultured bacterium. Its description in RNAcentral is "partial 16S ribosomal RNA". It matches the Rfam family "Bacterial small subunit ribosomal RNA", at positions 29 to 507 of the family's 1533-position model. The record is from RNAcentral.
AACGAACGCUGGCGGCAGGCCUAACACAUGCAAGUCGAGCGCCCUUUCGGGGGAGCGGCGGACGGGUGAGUAACGCGUGGGAAUAUGCCCUUCUCUACGGAAUAGCCUCGGGAAACUGAGAGUAAUACCGUAUACGCCCUGUGGGGGAAAGAUUUAUCGGGGAAGGAUUAGCCCGCGUUGGAUUAGGUAGUUGGUGGGGUAAUGGCCUACCAAGCCGACGAUCCAUAGCUGGUAUGAGAGGAUGAUCAGCCACACUGGGACUGAGACACGGCCCAGACUCCUACGGGAGGCAGCAGUGGGGAAUCUUAGACAAUGGGGGCAACCCUGAUCUAGCCAUGCCGCGUGAGUGAUGAAGGCCUUAGGGUUGUAAAGCUCUUUCAGCUGGGAAGAUAAUGACGGUACCAGCAGAAGAAGCCCCGGCUAACUCCGUG